Molecule: long non-coding RNA, 667 nt
Filed under: Homo sapiens (human)
Lineage: Eukaryota; Metazoa; Chordata; Mammalia; Primates; Hominidae
Description: non-protein coding lnc-DAD1-2:17
Source: RNAcentral
GAGUGAUCACAGUUUUUGAGAAUCAUGAUGAGGCAUUAAAGAAGAGGAGGAGUGUCUCAAGGGAGGUGAGCUGGAGGUGAUGCAAGGAUGUCUGAUCUGAAAGCAUGUUGUGGUCCGCUACACACAAGAGCAAAAGAAGAGCAGGAAGGAGCUCAGUGCCAAGACCAUAGCCACAGGAAGAAAACCAGCUCUUAGGGCUGCAGCUCUAAAGACAGGCCAGGUCAUUACAGGAACGUCUGCUCCCUUAGCCUUGCCAGACAGAGGAGGGUUAAGAAAGGAACUGCUGACCCUGAUAUGCAAACUGCCACGAGUGCUUCCUGCCUUUCUAUCAGCAUCAGAUGGCUAGCGAUGGAUGGCUGUAAGAUUGAUGUAAUUAACAUUUUAUUUUCAGGGCCACAGUGCUGGUUGGGUGCACCAGACAAAUCAACCAACAGAUUAAAGAGUGAUGGAGAAAGCUGUGUUUUGGGCCUCAUUUGGGAACAGAAUGGAAGAGCUGAGGGUGGAAGGGACCUCAGCAAGUCUUCUGAUCCAUGUUUCAACCUUCAUUUCCCCGAUAACCUCAAGGAGAGAGUUGCUUUUCCUGUUCUUCAAAUGAGUUCCUUGAAUUCACACUCUAUUUCUUUGAAUUUGCACAGACUGUUGAGGAACAGGCGGCAGGGUCACUCUA